Molecule: ribosomal RNA, 253 nt
Filed under: uncultured bacterium
Lineage: Bacteria
Description: partial 16S ribosomal RNA
Rfam family: Bacterial small subunit ribosomal RNA
Source: RNAcentral
UACGGAGGGGGCUAGCGUUGUUCGGAAUUACUGGGCGUAAAGGGCGCGUAGGCGGCCUGCUAAGUCGAACGUGAAAUCCCUGGGCUCAACCCAGGAACUGCGUCCGAUACUGGUUGGCUUGAAUCCGGGAGAGGGAUGCGGAAUUCCAGGUGUAGCGGUGGAAUGCGCAGAUAUCAGGAGGAACACCAAUAGCGAAGGCAGCUCGCUGGGACGGUACUGACGCUAAGGCGCGAAAGCGUGGGGAGCAAACAGG